GCCGGAGUGGCGGAAUUGGCAGACGCGCACGGCUUAGGACCGUGUCCCGCAAGGGGUGGGGGUUCAAGUCCUCUCUCCGGCA
RNAcentral lists this transfer RNA (82 nucleotides) under Candidatus Woesebacteria bacterium. RNAcentral's name for it is "tRNA-Leu". It matches the Rfam family "tRNA". Rfam says of the family: Transfer RNA (tRNA) molecules are approximately 80 nucleotides in length. The record is from RNAcentral. Lineage: Bacteria; Candidatus Woeseibacteriota.